AUCUUUCUAGAUUUCUAUCUUUCUAGAUAUCUAUCUUUCUAGACGUCUAUCCUUCUAGACAUCUAUCUUUCUAGACGUCUAUCUUUCUAGAUAUCUAUCUUUCUAGACAUCUAUCUUUCUAGACGUCUAUCUUUCUAGACAUCUAUCUUUCUAGAUAUCUAUCUAUCUAGACAUCUAUCUUUUUAGACAUCUACUUAUCUACCUAGACAUCUAUUUAGACAUCUGUCUAUCUUUCUAUACAUCUAUCUAGACAUCUAUCUUUCUAGACAUCUAUCUAUCUAGACAUCUAUUUAGACAUCUGUCUAUCUACCUAGACAUCUAUCUAUCUUUCUAUCUAGACAUAUAUCUUUCUAUUUAUCUGUCUAGACAUAUAUGUAUCUAUCUUUCUAUCCAUCUAUCUAUUUAUCUAUCGAGACAUCUAUCUAUCUAUUUUCUAUCUAUCUAUCUAUCUAUUUAUCUUUCUAGACAUCUAUCUAUCUAGAUAUCUAUCUUUCUAGACAUCUAUUUAUCUAUCUAGACAUCUAUUUAGACAUCUGUCUAUCUUUCUAGACAUCUAUCUACCUAGACAUCUAUCUAUCUUUCUAUCUAGACAUAUAUCUUUCUAUUUAUCUGUCUAGACAUAUAUGUAUCUAUCUUUCUAUCCAUCUAUUUAUCUAUCUAGACAUCUAUUUAGACAUCUGUCUAUCUUUCUAGACAUCUAUCUAUCUAGACAUCUAUCUUUCUAGAUAUCUAUCUAUCUAGACAUCUAUUUAGACAUCUGUCUAUCUAUCUAUACAUCUAUCUAUUUAGCUAUCGAGACAUCUAUCUAUCUAUUUUCUAUCUAUCUAUCUAUCAAAAUAUCUAUCUAAAUAUCUAUCUAUCUAUCUAUCUAAAUAUCUAUCUACGGUAUCUAGACAUCUAUCUUUGUAGACAUCUAUUUAUCUAUCUAGACAUCUAUUUAGACAUCUGUCUAUAUAUCUAGACAUCUAUCUAUCUAUACAUCCAACUAUCUAGACAUCUAUUUAGACAUCGGUCUAUCUAUCUAUUUAUCUAUCGAGACAUCUAUCUAUAUAUCUAGACAUAUAUCAAUCUAUCUAUCUAUCUAUCUUUCUAUCUUGACAUCUAUAUAUCUAUCUAAAUAUCUAUCUAUAUAUCUAAAUAUCUAUCUAUCUAGACAUCCAUCUAGACAUCUAUCUAGACAUUUGUCCAGUAUGAUCUGCCUGCGGUUCUUUCCAGUCCAGUCUUUAAUGCAGAGUAAAUCUGAAUCCGACUUGUGGGACGUCCAACUCUUACUGUAUGUCCCUUCCAGUCAAACUGACUCUUCACACAGCACAAGGGUCCUGUGUUUUCUCUUUCCCAGCCAGACGCUAAAUGAACCAUUCUCUCCGAGCCUUGUGGCCUGGGCUGAGCAGACGGGUGGUCGAUGGCAGCGGUGGGAGCGUUACAUUCGGUGACGGCAUGUUCGGUGGGAAAGCCGCUUGCUGGCACCAGACACUGCUGAAGUGCUCCUGAGCAAGGUCACCAAAGCCCGGUACGGUGCGUACUGUAUGUGUGUGAGUCUGCCUCCAAGAAAAGGAACUGGGAAAGUCGGAGAAGAAAAGAUGGCUUUCCCUGGCUUGUUAUAAAUAAACUCAAUAAAAAUAUCUACUCCUCUUGGAAAGUUAUGGGAGAGAGAGGAGGAGGAGCGGGGCGGCGGUGGGUGGGUGGGGUGACCCUAUAAAAAAAGCUUUUUGGGGGAUUAAAACUAUAUUUAGUUUGAUGAGAGAGUUUCAGGGCUUUUAACACCAUCACACAGCUUUCAUGUCACUCAACUAAAAAUAAGUCAAUAAAUGAACCAAAAUUAAUUUCAAUUGCUCAAAUUAAAGUUAAGUCGGAACGUUUAUUUAAUGAUGAAUAUGAUAUUUGAUGGAAUAAAAAUGAAACAUAUGUCAACAUAAAACGUUUCUAUCAUAAAAAAAAACUUUAAUGCCCCCGUUGUGUUGACACUGUCAACUUUGACGCCCCCUAGUGAUAUUAUGAAGAAGGACACAACAAAACAAUUUAAACUUUUUUUUUUCACUUAUAUAAUGCAGCAUAUUUUCUCUCCACUAUUUUAAAAGUUUAAAAUUUUACAUCGUUGCCCCGAGAAGUUCACGAAAAAAACGGAACAAAUAAUAUAUAUUUUCCACAACUCGAUGCAUCAUAAUUUAUUAAGAGGCACAAAUUAACGACCAUCUGACACAACUGUCAGUGAUUGUGAUGGUCAGUUUAUGAAACCUGCAGCUCCAUGUAUAAAAUGAAUGAAAGUGUGUAUAUACUAUUAGGGAUUAGUGGAGGACAGAGCUAAGCACGUAUCAUACUGUGCUAAAUAACAUUGGCGAUUGGUAAAAGGCCACAUGCAGAUUAGUUUCACUGACCGUCCUUCUGCUGUGACCAGGCCCUUUAAAGCAAAACUAUAACUUUAACCAGAAUAUGUUACCUGUUACUAGGAGAAGAAUAGAAGAAGAAGAUAGAAGAAGAGAACCAGUGGGGAUG
RNAcentral lists this long non-coding RNA (2493 nucleotides) under Scophthalmus maximus (turbot). RNAcentral's name for it is "lncRNA (ENSSMAG00000024057.1)". Lineage: Eukaryota; Metazoa; Chordata; Actinopteri; Pleuronectiformes; Scophthalmidae. The record is from RNAcentral.